CACGGGCAUGAGUAAUGGGAGUCUCUUUUCUUUUCUUCCCAUUCAAGAACAAGCCAGGACAAGUGAUUCUGGAAAAGGGGAGGGGACUGGCGAGGGGGAGAGGAUACUUACGCGGUGCAGAGGGCAGUGGGACCGAGCGUGGUUUUGCCGGCAGGGAGAGGAGAACACGCGCGCGCACACACGCGGCGGUGUCUUGCGGGUGAUGAAUGUGAUAAUUGGACCGGGGCCGCCAGAUCCAGGAGAGAGGCAAACGUGGGCGUGGAUUUCGGAAGAAAGAUGCUGAAGAUCCUGCCUGGACGGACACGCACACAAAAGCAUCCACUAUCCAGCACCACCAGCACCACCCUGAAGAAGGGAAGAGAAAGAAAGAAAAACCAACUCCAGGGUGCAGGCCGGCCUGCUUCCGGCAGUCUAAAAGCAGACUGACCGCCAUUCUCUCCUUCCCCACCCCCCUAGCCCCGGUGCCCAGUGCGACGCCAAGCUCAACCUGGAUCUGUUCUGAAUGGGGGGGAAAGUGAAAUGCCACAAGAUCAGUAGCAAGUAGCAGCUGCAGCGUUUCUCUCCUGGGAACCCCACUGCUUAGAAGCCUCCCGAGUGAUGUUUGUUUAACCAACGGCUUUCAAAGUAAACAGAGGCGAAGCGCUCCAAAGAAGUUGAAAUAUAACCCUUACAAGAAUUUGGGGCCGGAGUGCUGGCGGAAAAAGUAAAAAAAAAAAAAUUUUUUUUUUUGUUUUAAAUAAUAAAGCUUCCAUCCCAAAUAAGAGCCCACCACAGUGCCUAAAGGAAACUAGAAGGGUCGUAAAAAUAUAAAUUUAU
Molecule: long non-coding RNA, 816 nt
Filed under: Lynx canadensis (Canada lynx)
Lineage: Eukaryota; Metazoa; Chordata; Mammalia; Carnivora; Felidae
Description: lncRNA (ENSLCNG00005022062.1)
Source: RNAcentral